AUUUUUUGGUCAAGUACAAGGCAAGCGACAACAAAGACAGAUUGAAAAGCUGGACAACUUAUUCUGCACUAAUUAGCUGUUUGGAAUGCUGUUAUUGGAAUUUUGGCAAGCUUAGACUGAUUAUAGGAGUAUCAGUAUAUGCGGUGCCCUGAUGACCAAAAUCCAUUCAAUUUGUUCCUUCGUAUGGUGGUUGCCAGUUGCCAAUAUGCAUCUUGUGUCAAGAACAAAUAUCGAUCAAGAUUUAUUACUUUUUAUUUUGUAUCAUAUUAUUGGAAAUUCAAUUUCAACAAUUAUUUUGUAUAAGGAUUUGAGAGUAACUUUAAGGUUAUUCUAAAG
This 336-nucleotide long non-coding RNA is filed under the name Phoenix dactylifera (date palm). RNAcentral's name for it is "long non-coding RNA (PDAC_LNC015205)". Lineage: Eukaryota; Viridiplantae; Streptophyta; Magnoliopsida; Arecales; Arecaceae. The record is from RNAcentral.